UACGAAGGGGGCUAGCGUUGUUCGGAAUUACUGGGCGUAAAGCGCACGUAGGCGGGUUUGUAAGUAGGGGGUGAAAUCCCAGAGCUCAACUCUGGAACUGCCUUCUAGACUGCAAGCCUGGAGGUCAGGAGAGGCGAGUGGAAUACCGAGUGUAGAGGUGAAAUUCGUAGAUAUUCGCAAGAACACCAGUGGCGAAGGCGGCUGACUGGUCCGGUCCUGACGCUGAGGCGCGAAAGCGUGGGGAGCAAACAGG
This 253-nucleotide ribosomal RNA is filed under the name uncultured bacterium. RNAcentral describes it as "partial 16S ribosomal RNA". It matches the Rfam family "Bacterial small subunit ribosomal RNA", at positions 524 to 776 of the family's 1533-position model. The record is from RNAcentral.